GCCGGUAUGGCUAAGUGGUUAAGGCGUCUGUCUUGUAAACAGAAGAUCGGUGGUUCAAAUCCGCCUUCCGGCA
RNAcentral lists this transfer RNA (73 nucleotides) under Tieghemiomyces parasiticus. It matches the Rfam family "tRNA". From Rfam's summary of the family: Transfer RNA (tRNA) molecules are approximately 80 nucleotides in length. Their secondary structure includes four short double-helical elements and three loops (D, anti-codon, and T loops). The record is from Rfam by way of RNAcentral. Lineage: Eukaryota; Fungi; Kickxellomycota; Dimargaritomycetes; Dimargaritales; Dimargaritaceae.